CGGGUUUAUAUAACAUUCAUUGCAACCAACAACAAUUACAUGAACGAGCUAGGCAAGCAAAAGUGUAAGUCAAUUUGGACCUGUUUAUACAAAAAUCAUCGCAACCAAUAACAUAAAAUUUGUUCAUACAACGUUCACCCCUUUGAAGCACCGUACGUGAACUCCAAGUUGUGAUGCAGUGACCGUGGAGGGGGUUGAGGCAUCUUCAUCCACUGUCAUCUGCACUUCAAUAACCAAAAAUGAUAUAAUGAGAUCAAAGUUAUCAUGGAAGUUAAUUUGGUAAACGCAAAUAUACAGCACUUCCGAUAAUAACACUCAACUAAACAAAUAACGACACGAUGGUGCUCUUACAUACAUAAAGAAGAAAAAACCUCAGCAAACUAUAAAUUACUCCACAAGACUGCUGUGACACCCCGAACUUACGCUUCGAGGGUCACGUACUAAACAUAAUAACUUCUGCCUUUGGUACAUGUAAAUACUCUUAAAUAGAAGUGUUACAUGUGAAAAACUUAUUUUCAACUUGGUAAAAUAAUUCUUAUAAAAUUUUAAUGGCCGAUAAAAGUGCAUGUCGACAAGGAAUUAUGCUUCACAUAUAUGGCCUCGGCACUGUCAAGAUUAGUUGGGGCAGCAGGUUUGACAAUUUUUAUAAGAUUCAUCCCAACUCCGUUUUCUAUGAAAUUUGUGGCAUUAGAAAGAUAAUUUCAAGUAGUUUUCUAGGUUAAAAUAUGAAAAUUUUCCAAGAUCAUAUGAUAUAGACGUUUUACUGAAAACAGUGAAGUAUUACACAGGAGAUCCAGAUUGACCUUUGGACGUUAAAACCUUGAUAACUCACGCCAUAGAUAUCGAAAUUGAGUGAUUCCUUCGGCCAUAUUUAGAAAACUCAAAGAGGAAAACAGACAUAUUUUUAGAGUCUCAAAUGGACGUUUAUAGAGUUAGUAAAAUCGUUUCGAAAUUGACUCCAGAAACUGUCCCGUUUCUGCCUUUUAUCACUUGCAAGGAAAAUAAACUAUAAAAAUGUCUCUUAACAUAACAUGAAAGAUAUAAUUACAAAAUUUACUAUUAAUACCAUAAUACAUCAUGUCAUGUUCAUAUUUUUACAUAAUACCAUAAAAAAAUAGAUGGAAAAACUGUCAUCGAACAAAACACACAAAAGAAAACUUUCGGUACAAAACUUCGUUGUCCGUAAUCCAUCAUCGCGUAAGCCAACUAACUUCCAUCAAUUCAAAUGAUCAUGGAUCUGAAAAUUUAGCAUAACGUACUAUGAGUAUAAGAAAUACUCAGUAAGAUAUCAUUCUUGGAUUUUUAUCAUGAUAAUACCACACAAAAGAAUACAAUCAAACCCAUACUUGCAUAUUCUAGCUUGCCGGUGUCCUUCGGACUUGUCCUAAGGCAUAAAUAGAUAUCUAACUUUGUGGACUUUUCCACCAUAAUCAUAUUAUGGUUUUUCAUGCAUAACUUAAGCAUAAAUAUUACCAUGAAAAUCAUAACUCUUAAGCAUGAAAGUAUCUUACCGUAAAAUUUGAAGAUCUUCGAUUGAAAUGUAAAUUGGAAGUGCUAGGUUUACUUCCUUCCCUUUCCUUUCUUAUUUUC
This 1590-nucleotide long non-coding RNA is filed under the name Olea europaea (common olive). Its description in RNAcentral is "long non-coding RNA (OEUR_LNC003449)". Lineage: Eukaryota; Viridiplantae; Streptophyta; Magnoliopsida; Lamiales; Oleaceae. The record is from RNAcentral.